This 492-nucleotide ribosomal RNA is filed under the name uncultured bacterium. RNAcentral describes it as "partial 16S ribosomal RNA". It matches the Rfam family "Bacterial small subunit ribosomal RNA", at positions 29 to 507 of the family's 1533-position model. The record is from RNAcentral.
AGUGAACGCUGGCGGUAGGCCUAACACAUGCAAGUCGAACGGCAGCACAGUAAGAGCUUGCUCUUACGGGUGGCGAGUGGCGGGCGGGUGAGGAAUGCAUCGGAAUCUACUUUUUCGUGGGGGAUAACGUAGGGAAACUUACGCUAAUACCGCAUACGACCUACGGGUGAAAUCAGGGGAUCUUCGGACCUUGCGCGAUUGAAUGAGCCGAUGUCGGAUUAGCUAGUUGGCAGGGUAAAGGCACACCAAGGCGACGAUCCGUAGCUGGUCUGAGAGGAUGAUCAGCCACACUGGAACUGAGACACGGUCCAGACUCCUACGGGAGGCAGCAGUGGGGAAUAUUGGACAAUGGGCGCAAGCCUGACCCAGCCAUACCGCGUGGGUGAAGAAGGCCUUCGGGUUGUAAAGCCCUUUUGUUGGGAAAGAAAAGCAGCAGGUUAAUACCCCGCUGUUCUGACGGUACCCAAAGAAUAAGCACCGGCUAACUUCGUG